This 1489-nucleotide ribosomal RNA is filed under the name Lactiplantibacillus argentoratensis. RNAcentral's name for it is "bacterial SSU rRNA". It matches the Rfam family "Bacterial small subunit ribosomal RNA". Lineage: Bacteria; Bacillati; Bacillota; Bacilli; Lactobacillales; Lactobacillaceae. The record is from RNAcentral.
GACGAACGCUGGCGGCGUGCCUAAUACAUGCAAGUCGAACGAACUCUGGUAUUGAUUGGUGCUUGCAUCAUGAUUUACAUUUGAGUGAGUGGCGAACUGGUGAGUAACACGUGGGAAACCUGCCCAGAAGCGGGGGAUAACACCUGGAAACAGAUGCUAAUACCGCAUAACAACUUGGACCGCAUGGUCCGAGCUUGAAAGAUGGCUUCGGCUAUCACUUUUGGAUGGUCCCGCGGCGUAUUAGCUAGAUGGUGGGGUAACGGCUCACCAUGGCAAUGAUACGUAGCCGACCUGAGAGGGUAAUCGGCCACAUUGGGAUUGAGACACGGCCCAAACUCCUACGGGAGGCAGCAGUAGGGAAUCUUCCACAAUGGACGAAAGUCUGAUGGAGCAACGCCGCGUGAGUGAAGAAGGGUUUCGGCUCGUAAAACUCUGUUGUUAAAGAAGAACAUAUCUGAGAGUAACUGUUCAGGUAUUGACGGUAUUUAACCAGAAAGCCACGGCUAACUACGUGCCAGCAGCCGCGGUAAUACGUAGGUGGCAAGCGUUGUCCGGAUUUAUUGGGCGUAAAGCGAGCGCAGGCGGUUUUUUAAGUCUGAUGUGAAAGCCUUCGGCUCAACCGAGGAAGUGCAUCGGAAACUGGGAAACUUGAGUGCAGAAGAGGACAGUGGAACUCCAUGUGUAGCGGUGAAAUGCGUAGAUAUAUGGAAGAACACCAGUGGCGAAGGCGGCUGUCUGGUCUGUAACUGACGCUGAGGCUCGAAAGUAUGGGUAGCAAACAGGAUUAGAUACCCUGGUAGUCCAUACCGUAAACGAUGAAUGCUAAGUGUUGGAGGGUUUCCGCCCUUCAGUGCUGCAGCUAACGCAUUAAGCAUUCCGCCUGGGGAGUACGGCCGCAAGGCUGAAACUCAAAGGAAUUGACGGGGGCCCGCACAAGCGGUGGAGCAUGUGGUUUAAUUCGAAGCUACGCGAAGAACCUUACCAGGUCUUGACAUACUAUGCAAAUCUAAGAGAUUAGACGUUCCCUUCGGGGACAUGGAUACAGGUGGUGCAUGGUUGUCGUCAGCUCGUGUCGUGAGAUGUUGGGUUAAGUCCCGCAACGAGCGCAACCCUUAUUAUCAGUUGCCAGCAUUAAGUUGGGCACUCUGGUGAGACUGCCGGUGACAAACCGGAGGAAGGUGGGGAUGACGUCAAAUCAUCAUGCCCCUUAUGACCUGGGCUACACACGUGCUACAAUGGAUGGUACAACGAGUUGCGAACUCGCGAGAGUAAGCUAAUCUCUUAAAGCCAUUCUCAGUUCGGAUUGUAGGCUGCAACUCGCCUACAUGAAGUCGGAAUCGCUAGUAAUCGCGGAUCAGCAUGCCGCGGUGAAUACGUUCCCGGGCCUUGUACACACCGCCCGUCACACCAUGAGAGUCUGUAACACCCAAAGUCGGUGGGGUAACCUUUUAGGAACCAGCCGCCUAAGGUGGGACAGAUGAUUAGGGUG